Molecule: non-coding RNA, 521 nt
Organism: Lolium perenne
Lineage: Eukaryota; Viridiplantae; Streptophyta; Magnoliopsida; Poales; Poaceae
Source: RefSeq, a predicted model, not a curated record
GUACACGCACAUGGUUCGGUGGGAUGAGUCGAGCCCAGCACAGCUCAGCCCCCUUCUUCUCUUUUUCUUCCUCGCUCCCAGACACGCGCACGAAUGCGCUCCAUGGCGUCGCCGCAUGCCCGCCUCCUCCCGGCCGCUCACGGCCGUCUAUGGCGCCGGCGAGAUAGCGUUUUGGUUCGCCUCGAGGGGUGAUGCCCUUGAUGCUUUCCUGGUCGGUGAUGCUGGUGUGGUGGUGAUGUUGCUUUGCUCGUGGUGGCUGUGGUGGCGUACGUGUGAGGAAUGCGGAUGCUGCAACGAUGUUGCUGUGCUGACUAUUUCAUCUUCGACGCCGGUGGGACUGUGAUGUAAACGCAACCUCGACAUCGACUUGGUUUGCUUUUCUACAGCAUUGUGGUCAAAUUGGUUUGUUUUGCCUCCAAGUGCAAGCAUACGGCCGGUUAUGCUCGAUCUUAUCCCUAGUAGAUAUUUAUUUUGAUGCAGCCAGGUGGUACUUGAUUAAGUGUGGCUUUUCUUUGUUUGUC